AAUGUGGGCUUCUGAGGCGAAGGCCAGGCUUUCCUGAGGAAGGUGGAGGAGCCAGCUCAUAUGGUCCUGCAGAAAAACAAAAUUCUGCCAGAAAAUUGUAUGGAAACUGUUCUCAAGUAUUUCUGCACAGCUGAACAGAGGGAAAGAAGGCCCAGGAGGCACCCAGGUUGAUCACACCUGGUGUUAAAAAUCCUGAGGAACCCUGGCUGAUGACGCAGCAGGAACUGAAGAACCAGCUGCUGGGCAGGCCUGUGGGCUGUGAGGCGUGUGACAGAGGGAGCCUUGCCGGCACUUCAGCUGUGCCUGGCUCCCAGAUGCACCCCGUGCAAAGGGAGGAGUGAAGUGGUCCCAGGUGUCCAAAUGAAAUAUACGUCAAAUCAAAGUCAGUGGAAGCACCAGGAUUCACAGGAGGAGAGACUUAAUUGCAGGGGAAUUCAGCGCUGCCUCCAGGCAUGUUUGCAUUGAGCUUGAUAAUGACUGGGUGAGAAACAGGAGCUAGAGACACUUAAGGAACCGUG
This 518-nucleotide long non-coding RNA is filed under the name Capra hircus (goat). RNAcentral's name for it is "lncRNA (ENSCHIG00000004880.1)". The record is from RNAcentral. Lineage: Eukaryota; Metazoa; Chordata; Mammalia; Artiodactyla; Bovidae.